RNAcentral lists this ribosomal RNA (429 nucleotides) under Verrucomicrobiota bacterium. RNAcentral describes it as "Verrucomicrobia bacterium partial 16S ribosomal RNA". It matches the Rfam family "Bacterial small subunit ribosomal RNA", at positions 355 to 776 of the family's 1533-position model. Lineage: Bacteria; Pseudomonadati; Verrucomicrobiota. The record is from RNAcentral.
UAGGGAAUCUUCCGCAAUGGACGAAAGUCUGACGGAGCAACGCCGCGUGAGUGAAGAAGGAUUUCGGUUCGUAAAACUCUGUUGUUAGGGAAGAAAAAAUGUAUAGUAACUAUAUACAAAAGAGACGGUACCUAACCAGAAAGCCACGGCUAACUACGUGCCAGCAGCCGCGGUAAUACGUAGGUGGCAAGCGUUGUCCGGAAUUAUUGGGCGUAAAGCGCGCGCAGGUGGUUUAGAAAGUCUGAUGUGAAAGCCCACGGCUCAACCGUGGAGGGUCAUUGGAAACGAAUGAACUUGAAUGCAGGAGAGAAAAGUGGAAUUCCUAGUGUGGCAGUGAAAUGCGUAGAGAUUAGGAGGAACACCGGUGGCGAAAGCGGCUUUUUGGCCUGCAACUGACACUGAGGCGCGAAAGCGUGGGGAGCAAACAGG